Thunnus maccoyii (southern bluefin tuna) is the source of this 1417-nucleotide long non-coding RNA. RefSeq lists it as uncharacterized. The transcript has 3 exons. The record is from RefSeq and is a predicted model, not a curated record. NCBI's taxonomy places the organism in Eukaryota, Metazoa, Chordata, Actinopteri, Scombriformes, Scombridae.
UUUUUUCAUCUAUGAUUGCUUGUAAAUCACUUCAGGACUGCUUUGAAAAGUGCUGUGUAAACAGACAUUUUAAUCAUUAUUUUUACAGUACUGUAGUAACACUGUUUAUAGUAGCAAUAAUACAGGUAAAGGGAAGCGUGACUGUGAUGAUUCAUUUGUUGACGUCUCAGUUUAGCAGCUUUCUAAAGAUGAUUGACAGAUUUGGAGGGUCAGUGGAAAUCAGCUCUGUCAUGUUUCCAAGGUUACAGAUCCAAACAAAACUAAGACUAAUCCCCUCUCUGGGAAGUCUGUGAUAUGAGACGUGAUUAGAAAUGAUGCGGCGUCUUGAACAUGAGGUUUACUGUUUGUUGUACGAAAGUCACAACACCAAGGUAACAUCAUAGGCUAAAGUACACUUUACAGCUGAUUUACACUCAUGUUGACAUAUCGAUGACCACUUUUGUGAAGAAAGAUAAACUUACAUUUCCUGAUAAGUGUAAAGUAAAUGGACAGAAGCCUUUUACAUACAAGAAACAACCAAACUGACAUCAUCCUUUUUCAUUACAAACGCUUGUUUGUCUUCUGGGUUUUGAUUUUGCUUUUUGGCAUUCGACUCUUAGAUCACCGAUGUUGGAGAACGCUUGAAUGAACUAAUGUGGAGUUCUCAAGACAACUGUGUGAUGACUAUCUUUGAUUAAAAAAAAAAAAAAAAGAAGAAAGUAUUUACUUUUGCGGGCAAGUUAAAGCAGAUUCCUCUUAAAUAUCAUCCUGUGUUUCUUUGCUUGCGUGUCAGUCUAUGUUCACCUUCCGGAAGACGUGUGUGAUGAUCUGAUGAGUUCUGUCUAGUCGGUGUUUGUGAGUCAGGUUCGGCGUCCAGCAAAUAAGGUGAUGCGGUCUGAGCAGCUUUUGGACGUGAGCUGGAUACUGUCACAGAGACUCACAGGGACGCGGCGCAGCACAAGUGUUUGUGGCCGUAUUUCAUCAUCACUUGAAUGUGCGAGACUAAAGCACGCCGCUGGUGAAAACAGAGUUUCCAGAGACUCUGAGUGGCAGCAAGCUGAAGCUGAUCCUUGAUCAAUGUCCAGACUUCAUAUGUAAAUCCCUGCUGACCACAUACUGAGCCACCCCCCCCCCCUCCCCAACACCUCCACUUCUCACAACUACCCCCAGGUCGAGGCCGGUGAAUGGUGAAAGGGGCGUCUCUUCACACUCUCCCGCCGCCCCCUCAUCCCAAAACCAAAACCACCACUAAUCCACCUGUCAGUCAUUGUAGAGGAGGGUGAGGGUGAGGGUAAAGGGGGGAGGAAGCGAGGAAGGGGGGGGGGGCUUUUGUCCUGGGUGGCUUCUCUGAUCUAAAGAGGCUGUCAGGAGACACAUCUCCCUGGUUUUUUUUUCUACAAUUCUGUGUUUUUGUACUCGUUUUGUCAAUAAAAUAAUA